This 837-nucleotide ribosomal RNA is filed under the name Perforatella incarnata. RNAcentral's name for it is "Monachoides incarnatus partial large subunit ribosomal RNA". Lineage: Eukaryota; Metazoa; Mollusca; Gastropoda; Stylommatophora; Hygromiidae. The record is from RNAcentral.
AAUUAUUAUUAGAUUUUUAAAUAAUUAUUCACGAAAUAAAUUGAGCUAAAUUUUUGGUAUUUUUUGGAAAUUAUAACUAUAUGUUACAAAAUAUAUUAACUAAAUAGAUUUAGGGGUGAAAGGCCUAUCAAAUUUUAUGAUAUCUUGAAGUAUAUAAAAUAUAUCAAGUAUUUCUAAUUCAACUAUUGAAUGUUUAGGUUCAAUAGUAACAUUAUAUUUUUUAAAAAGUUGUUCAAUUUUUUUAAGUAAAAUUGAUUUAGAGCAUAAAAUAUACAUCAAAUUUUUAUUAUAUGAAUAUAAGUAUACUACGGUUAUUAAUAAAUAUAAUCAUAUAUAAUGUAAUUAUUAGUAAUAGUUUAUUAAACUAUAUAAAGGAAUUCGGCAAGAAAAUUUUUCACCUGUUUAUCAAAAACAUAGCUUAUUGAAUAUCAUAAUAAGUAACCCCUGCUCAAUGGAAAUCUAAAUAGCCGCAGUACCUUGACUGUGCAAAGGUAGCAUAAUCAAUUGGCUUAUAAUUGAAGUCUGGAAUGAAUGGGUAAUCUGGAAAAUAACUGUCUUUAUUUGUAGUAUUUUUGAAUUUACUUAUAAAGUGAAAAUACUUUAAUAUAAAUAUAAGACGAGAAGACCCUAGAAAUUUUUUGUUAAUAACUUUUGUUGGGGCGACAGGGUAACAUAUAAACUUACUUACAUUUUAUAUAAAUCUUAUAAGGUACGUAAUUAAAUUACUCUAGGGAUAACAGCAUAAUAUAUAAAAGUUUAUGACCUCGAUGUUGGACUAGGUAAUUAAAUAUUUAAAAGAUAUCUUAAUUUGCUCUGUUCGAGCAGUACCACCUACAU